This 492-nucleotide ribosomal RNA is filed under the name uncultured bacterium. RNAcentral's name for it is "partial 16S ribosomal RNA". It matches the Rfam family "Bacterial small subunit ribosomal RNA", at positions 29 to 507 of the family's 1533-position model. The record is from RNAcentral.
AGUGAACGCUGGCGGUAGGCCUAACACAUGCAAGUCGAACGGCAGCACAGUAAUAGCUUGUUCUUACGGGUGGCGAGUGGCGGACGGUUGAGGAAUACAUCGGAAUCUACUUUUUCUUGGGGGAUAACGUAGGGAAACUUACGCUAAUACCGCAUACGAACUACGGGUGAAAUCAGGGGAUCUUCGGACCUUGCGCGAUUCAAUGAGCCGAUGUCGGAUUAGCUAGUUGGCGGGGUAAAGGCCCACCAAGGCGACGAUCCGUAGCUGGUCUGAUAGGAUGAUCAGCCACACUGGAACUGAGACACGGUCCAGACUCCUACGGGAGGCAGCAGUGGGGAAUAUUGGACAAUGGGCGCAAGCCUGAUCCAGCCAUACCGCGUGGGUGAAGAAGGUCUUCGGGUUGUAAAGCCCUUUUGUUGGGAAAGAAAAGCAGCAGGUUAAUACCCCGCUGUUCUGACGGUACCCAAAGAAUAAGCACCGGCUAACUUCGUG